AAAAAAGCCUUUGGAAAUUGUGGAGUCUAAGUUUCAGGAAUUAAGAAAUAAGAAAGUGAAAAUGUUUAAAGUAAUUUGGGGAAAUCAAACUGUAGAAGAAGCCACGUGGGAACUGGAAGAAGUAAUGAAAGAGAAGUAUCCCGAGUUGUUUCAGCAUCAAAUCUGAUUCCGAGGUCGGAAUCCUUUAAACGAGGGAAGAAUGUAACAACCGUAAAAUUUCAAGUACGUAAACAAAUUAAUUAUUUAAUUUUAUGCGGUUAAAGCUAUCAUUUAAAUAAUUGUGAAAUUAUUAUUUAAUAAAAAUAUUGGUACGUAAAACAUUUCAGGCUAGUACGAGGUUUGUUUAUAUCGGCUAGCAAAUUAAAUCCAUUUUCGUACCAUUAGGAUCUAAAUGUUGGCCACGUAAAUAAAUUGGUAGAUGUAUAAUUUUGUUAUGGCCCGGGAAUAUUAUAAAUUUUACGGGUUUAGCUAAAAGAAAUAUUUCGUUAUAACUAUUAAAUUUUGAAAUAUUUAGAGAAAUACUAGAAUAAUUAUUUAAUUAAUUAUUUAGUAUAAUCCCGAAUGAUAUUUUUUAUUAAAAUAUUUAAAUAGGAAGUUGUUAAAUGACCC
This 609-nucleotide long non-coding RNA is filed under the name Daucus carota (carrot). RNAcentral's name for it is "long non-coding RNA (DCAR_LNC007328)". The record is from RNAcentral. Lineage: Eukaryota; Viridiplantae; Streptophyta; Magnoliopsida; Apiales; Apiaceae.